Molecule: ribosomal RNA, 253 nt
Filed under: uncultured bacterium
Lineage: Bacteria
Description: partial 16S ribosomal RNA
Rfam family: Bacterial small subunit ribosomal RNA
Source: RNAcentral
UACGUAGGGUGCGAGCGUUAAUCGGAAUUACUGGGCGUAAAGCGUGCGCAGGCGGUUCGUUGUGUCGGUGGUGAAAUCCCCAGGCUUAACCUGGGAACUGCAUCCGAUACUGGAUGGCUUGAAUCCGGGAGAGGGAUGCAGAAUUCCAGGUGUAGCGGUGAAAUGCGUAGAUAUCUGGAGGAAUACCGGUGGCGAAGGCGGCAUCCUGGACCGGCAUUGACGCUGAUGAGCGAAAGCUAGGGGAGCAAACGGG